AGUCUGAUCUCUGACGGAGAAUGGGCGGUGGAUCGAUUUCUGUUAAGUCGAUGUCAAGGAACGACUGAGAUAUUUCUUCCAAAGAGAACGAAACAGGCCUGGUCUUGUCAAAACGCUUAUCUUCCAUCAGACACUUGAUCAAAACAUCAUGAUUUUCCUGAUUGUGCUUUUUGUAUUAGCUUGUAUGAUGUUCUUGCUGCACCUCCACGAGUAUGCUUUUGUAUGCGAAUAGAUGCGGCUUCCUUCCUUAGGGUUUCCAUUAGAGAUUGUAAUUGUUGCUGCAUUUUUGGAGCACAAUGAAGGAUAUGAUCAUAUGAGUUUAGGAUCUACAAAUGAAGAAAGUCCUCACAUUAUGCAGAGAUUUACAUACCUUAAAGCGAGUUCCAAUGGAAGAGAAUUUUGAUUGCUUAGAUGAAUCCUCCAAUGGUGGGAAGAGAUUUGCUACAAAAGAGCACUUUGAGUCAUUUAGCAGAGCUUGAAAUUCUGCUACAACGUAAUCCUUGUUCUUGUCCAGGAAGUGGUCAGCUUGGACAUAAAGUUCUGCUUACAUCUCCUGCAUAAUGGUUGAUUGUGAAGUUUGUUCUAGACAGUUUUGGCUUGCUGAACCGUUUGUGUGAGGUAUAUGUCUGGUACAUCUUCUGAGCAAAUGUCUCGUGUGUUGACUUGGGAAACAUACUGCAAAUAGGGUAGAUAAACCUUUAUAUUAUCAACAAGUUGCGCUACAGUAAUAAAUCUAGUUUAUCCACUCUGAAGUACAAUGUAGUACUGUAUAUCUUCAAGGCUACUCCUGAGAUGAUAUGGUCAGGACAUUCAAAGUAGCACAAUUACUUACCAUGCUUCGUCAAGAAGAGCAAUGAUACCCCCAGGUUUCUGCAUGAAUCACAAGUUAUAGAAGUUAUCUUCUAGGAUUCUGUGGCGUUAGCCAUGCUAAGUUUUAGUAAGUUGAUUAGGUUCAAACAUGAGGAGCUCUGCUGCUGUACGGAGAUGAAAGAGUGACUUGUCAUCUUUUACUUUUGAAGAAUCAAAUUCCUUUCCUUUGAUGAAGUCAACAUUUCCAAGAUGAAGAAUUGCAGCUACAACACGGAAUAUUGCAUCCUACAAAAGUUUCUCUUUUAGAAGUUUCUUCUUUACUGAGAGCUUGUUGACUUUCGGAUUUUGACUUACAUAUAUCUCAUUGAGAGAAAACCGAGCGGCAAGAUUAUAGAGCACUCCUGGCUCAUGAAGGUAGAUUUGGUAGCUCCAGAAAUUCAAAAGAUUCCAUGGAUAAUAUGCUGCCGUAGAGUAUUAAGCAUUGUUGCCUUUGAUAUCUGUCACCUCUCCGUCGAUCCAUGCAAGUUCAGGAUCUUCUGCCCAAACAUGUGAUCCAACGAUAAUAUUCACUGGAGUUCCCUGCAACCAUCAAACAAGAAAUAAAAAAAGGUACACGUUACUAUAUUUUGAUCAUAAUACUUUCAGACCGGAACAUGAACUUCGUGAUCAUAAAGAAAUAAUUAUACCAUCUGUCCAAGACUAUGGGAUCAUUAAACACAAAAGAUAUACAGAAAGAAUUGCAGAAAGAGAAAGAGAGGAAAGAGAGUUUGAUGAAAUGAUGAGUUGGUAGAAUGUAGAUAUAACAAAAAAGUGGGAAAAGAAUGUGAAAGAGAAUGUUUCAAAGAGAAUGGAAAGCACAAGGUGGUGGUGGUGGUAGUAGUGAUGGUAACUCAAAAGCAAAAGAAGUAGUAGUCACCCCACCCCCACCCCAACCCCCCAACCUCCUGUCAUUUCUUUUUUUAAGUACUAUUUAAUACUUUAAUUAUAUCAUGUAUACAUGUCAUUAAUAUCUUUUAAUAUUAUACUCCUACAAAGGACUAAUAAAAUCUGAAUGACAUUGUCAUUUAGAGUUGGCAAAGGGCCUAAAAGGUGUUCAAGGUAUUCACAUGCAUACACCUUGAAGGCCAGGGCGGAACUAGGUGGGAUUUAGGGUUGGCCAUCGGUCACCUCGAAAAAUUUAACGUUAAUGUAAUAUUAGUAUAAUGUUUAGUUUUGUUUUCUUAUUUGUAACUCAUGGUGCAGCUUGAAAAUUUUAUGGCUUUUUAUGUACAAUACUGUAUUUAAUUGUAAUGUUAGUACUUUUUUUAUGUACAA
Erigeron canadensis is the source of this 2124-nucleotide long non-coding RNA. RefSeq lists it as uncharacterized. Lineage: Eukaryota; Viridiplantae; Streptophyta; Magnoliopsida; Asterales; Asteraceae. The transcript is spliced from 9 exons. The record is from RefSeq and is a predicted model, not a curated record.